Long non-coding RNA from Engraulis encrasicolus (European anchovy), 1682 nucleotides. RefSeq lists it as uncharacterized. The record is from RefSeq and is a predicted model, not a curated record. NCBI's taxonomy places the organism in Eukaryota, Metazoa, Chordata, Actinopteri, Clupeiformes, Engraulidae. The transcript has 4 exons.
AAGGUGACCCUCGAAAAGUGCUUCAGAAACCGAACUUCGCUCCACAGCCUCCGAACAAACAGACAUUCAGUUCAUAAAAAAGAAAGACUUAUAUAGAGGAUUUAAAACCUCUGUUCGGAAUAGUCCGCACUGCAAGGCUAUUCAAAUUCGCAACGUGUAAUGACGAACUACUGUCUCCGAGGCGUAUGUAGAUAUUCGGCCGGCGUAAUAAUACUUUUCGCCUCGAGAGGUGCCACGGUUGAAGCGUCAUCAGAAGGAACGAAUCAGCUAACUGCUAUGUCAGCUGAGAUGAGGAGUAAACGGAAGUAGCAUGGCUACCGAAGGAGCUGGUCGAUCAUCUAGUAGUACCGAGGAAGACGAAAUCUCGACCGAAAAUGUACAAAAAAAGACAUCUUCGAAACGCAAGUUGUGUUACAUGCAUAUAUCUUCGGUCAAGCAUGAAGAAACACAGAAUUUCACCAAUAUACGGUGGAAUACAUAUCGAAAUUUUCGGCAGCGGCUAGAAUUGAAGGGUGAGUGCAGAGACGUAGCAGAACAUUUUAAGCAAUGUAUUGAGUUGGAGUUUGACGAAAUUCCCGAGGAUGCGGCUCUCCAUCCCACAUGCUACCGGAGGUUUAUUGACAAGCGGGAAAUUGAACGAGUCACACGGCGUGUCUUGCGAGAGGCAGAGAGGGGAGAUGGCCAACAAGACCCCCGAACUAGCCAGGCUACCUCCGCUUUAUCGGCUGUGACCACCACUCCGACCAGGAAACUGCGAUCCAGAUCAAGCUUGGCCAUCACGAGCUCUGGCCCCGUUCUUCCUGCUGUCUGCAUGAUUUGCAAGAAAGACAGCAAAUUUAUCGUCGCGAGUGGCAGACGUCAAAGAGAACGAAAACACAGACUUUAACCGCAGGCAAGUUGCAGGAAGCAGCUGAAGUAAAGGAAGCCAAGAGCAUCCUCAUUCACAUCAAGGACAGAGACUGUGUGGCUCUGGAGGUGCAGUACCACAGAAGUUGCUACAGAGAGUACACAAGGUUUUUGAGUGAGCCUGUCAGAGCAGAGAAAGAACAGAUUGGGCCAACAUUUGAUCUGAGCUACAAGUUAUUCUGCGAGAGGGUAAUCCGCUAAAGGCUACUGAUCAACCAAGAGGUGCUGAGGAUGAGCCAACUGAGGAAGGCCUUUAUUGCCCUUGUGCAGUCAAGUGAAGGUGUUGAUGCUUCAACCUACAGACAGGAUAUAUUGAAGAAGAGGCUCAGUCGUGAUUUUCCUCAGCUAGUGUUCCACACCCCCGCCAAACGCAACACAUCUGAACUGGUUUUUGCUGAGAACUUGUCGACGAAUGCAGUCUUGGACUUGUUACCAUCAGGUGCGGAGACGACUCAGUCCAGCGAAAUGAGCCAGACAGACAGCGACACAGAAAGGAGGAAGUCAAAGCAACCAACCACAGCAGAGGAGACACGGACACUUUACACAGCAGCUUUGCUUUUGAAGAGGCUGCUUAGUCACAGUCCUGGCAUGUCAUGCCCAUGGCCCCCAACUGCAGUAAACUUCAAUUUCACUGAAGUCAUUUUCUGUGGCAUGCGCAAAAGAUGUGUACCUGGAUGCUUUCACACAGUUCAUGAAAAUGCCGGUUCAUGUGUAUGCCACUUGUUUUGAUUUUUUUAUUUGUUGUAUAGUUAUUAGUGAAUAAAUGAAUACAUGAA